Molecule: long non-coding RNA, 474 nt
Organism: Pipistrellus kuhlii (Kuhl's pipistrelle)
Lineage: Eukaryota; Metazoa; Chordata; Mammalia; Chiroptera; Vespertilionidae
Exons: 3
Source: RefSeq, a predicted model, not a curated record
UCCACGCCCACAGCAGCAGCAGAAGCCCAGUGAAACACGGAAAGAGCAGAGCACAGUUCAGAUGCAUCACAGGAGAGCCACAGACUAUCCUCUAUAAUGAAAGGCUGGAAUGAAAAUUGUCCCCACAGGUUGGAGUUCAACAUGCACUGACCACCAGGAGCGGCAUGGAACACGGCGGGUCUGAUGAGAGUGGGAUCAUGGGGGGAUGGUGGAGCAGGCCGUUUGGUUCCGAAACAUUCCUUGGAGAGAACGAAAGCAACGGGCCGCGCCGAAAGGGAAACCGCACGCAGACCUGGCGGGGAUAAGAGCCGGAUGAGAGCGCAGCGGCGGGAGGAGGAAAUGCAGCCUGGCCAGGGAGAACGGCCCACAUGAGGUCUCUCCUUGACCUCUUCUCCGGGGGAUCUGGUGAUAGUCACAUCAGAAGUCCACCUACGAAUGGGUUAAAAUUGCUUCUGUUGUAAGACACCAUCUUUU